GUGGUGACGUCAGGAAGGCUGACGGGAGCAGUCAGAGGGGGUCUAGCCACCUUAAAUCCAGGAACAGCUCCCUGCCCUGAGCCGGCCUACUCUCUGUACUCUACCGACUCCGAGGACCAGUGUCUCCAAGGCUUCACAGAACAGUAAGCAGUGUAGCAGUCAAACCAAGGCUAUCCACAUCAAUGGGGAAAAAGAGCUUGAAGAAAGGGCCUCCAAAGGCAGGCCAGAAGAGCGUGUCAGGCCAGCGUGGAUCGGACAGCAGAACUCCACGAGGACACCCAUCUGCCCGUCCUGCACCACAUUCAGGAGUGAAGCUACAUCCACCUCAGAAACGAUGUCCCACCCAGCUGCAGUCUCACUUACUUUCAGCACACGACCAAACACCUCGACUUCUUCCUCACACCGUCAGUCCACCCCAGCACGAGGCGUCCAUCCUUCUGUCUGUGCGUCAGUCCUCCUCUCUCUCGAGCCAUCAGACUGCCUGCCGGCCUGACUCUGAAACGCCUCACACUACGUGUGAUGAAGCACAAGAGUUUGUUCCUGUGAGAGACACAAACACCCAGAGCCCCAGCACACACACUCUCACACAUGCACAUGGAGACAGCUGCAGUAUGAAGAUGGCACACUUACAGCUGGAGCCUGGACAGGCUGAGGAGAGCAACAUUGAGGCACAAACAAAAGCUCACAAGCUUCAGUAUCUAUUCGCACAACUCAAGGCUCUGAUUGCUGGACAAGGCAGUGUAGCAGAGAGCCUACUCAGUCAUCUGGAGCAGACUGUGUCCCCAGCACAGAUGAAUAUUAGUGCUUCAAACACCCAGAGUGUGUCCGACCUGCACAGGUGUGUGAGGAUCCUGGACCAGCAGCCAGAGACGGAGAGACAUCAGAACCAGGCGAUACUCUGGCAGAGACUUCAGAAAGAGCUCACUGCUGCUCAGUCCAGGCUGCAGGAACUCCAAGAUGACCUGACGGACCUACGGAAAACCCUGCAGGACACACAGAGCCAGCUGAGAGACCGAGAGGCUGAAACUGCACUCGUUAAGAUGGAGCUGGAGGCCAGUAAGAGUAGGUUACUGGACAGUGAGCGGGAGAAGAGUAAGCUGGCCUCGCUGGCACAGCAAAGGCUGAAGGAGAUGGAACACCUUAAAAGUCUCCUCUCAUCAGAUUAUCCUGCUGUUGUUGACAGCUCUGUGUCAGAGACAAGCCAACACCAGCACAGACGGGAUCCGCCAGCGCCCCCUACUGACCAUAUCGCCCAAUACCUGAAGUCUCUUAGCCAGAUGGCGCCUGUGCAGUGUGUGGAUGCAGAGAGAGAUUCAGACUCAGCAUCACAUCUAGACAUCACCGCUCAGAGGAGUGAAGAUCCUGCAGGGACUCGGCACGAGUCUAAUCGUGAGCGGUCCACUGGUCCAGGUGAAGCCCUGCGGCCAGAGGACGCUCGCAGGCAGCUGUUUAACUCCACGCUGUCCCAGAGUGAAACAGAGUCUGUGUGGUCUGAUUUGACCUUUGACACCAGAGACGAAGCAGCGUUCAGAGACGGUCUGGCAGCUUUAGAUGCUAGCAUAGCCAGUCUGCAGAAGACUAUUAAGCUGGACCUGAGGAGGUGA
Molecule: long non-coding RNA, 1604 nt
Organism: Oreochromis niloticus (Nile tilapia)
Lineage: Eukaryota; Metazoa; Chordata; Actinopteri; Cichliformes; Cichlidae
Source: Ensembl